RNAcentral lists this transfer RNA (71 nucleotides) under Pangasianodon hypophthalmus (striped catfish). Its description in RNAcentral is "tRNA-Glu". Lineage: Eukaryota; Metazoa; Chordata; Actinopteri; Siluriformes; Pangasiidae. The record is from RNAcentral.
UCCCUGGUGGACUAGUGGCUAGCAUGCAGUGCGCUCAACGCUGUGCCGGGGUUUGAUUCACCGUCAGUAAA